This 253-nucleotide ribosomal RNA is filed under the name uncultured bacterium. RNAcentral's name for it is "partial 16S ribosomal RNA". It matches the Rfam family "Bacterial small subunit ribosomal RNA", at positions 524 to 776 of the family's 1533-position model. The record is from RNAcentral.
UACGGAGGGGGCUAGCGUUGUUCGGAAUUACUGGGCGUAAAGCGCACGUAGGCGGCUUUGUAAGUUAGAGGUGAAAGCCCGGGGCUCAACUCCGGAAUUGCCUUUAAGACUGCAUCGCUAGAAUUGUGGAGAGGUAAGUGGAAUUCCGAGUGUAGAGGUGAAAUUCGUAGAUAUUCGCAAGAACACCAGUGGCGAAGGCGGCUCACUGGCCCGAUACUGACGCUGAGGUGCGAAAGCGUGGGGAGCAAACAGG